This 508-nucleotide ribosomal RNA is filed under the name uncultured bacterium. RNAcentral describes it as "bacterial SSU rRNA". It matches the Rfam family "Bacterial small subunit ribosomal RNA", at positions 29 to 514 of the family's 1533-position model. The record is from RNAcentral.
AACGAACGUUGGCGGCGUGGAUUAGGCAUGCAAGUCGAACGCGUGAGAGGGGCUUGCUCCUCAAGCGAGUGGCGAACGGGUGAGUAACGCGUGGGAAACCUGCCCCGAAGCGUGGAAUAACACUCCCAACGGGGUGCUAAUACCGCAUGGUAUCGCCGGGUGGCAUCAUUUGGCGAUUAAAGGUGGGGACCGUAAGGCCUGCCACUUUGGGAUGGUCCCGCGUCUGAUUAGCUUGUUGGUGAGGUAACGGCUCACCAAGGCGACGAUCAGUAGCUGGUCUGAGAGGAUGGUCAGCCACACUGGGACUGAGAUACGGCCCAGACUCCUACGGGAGGCAGCAGUCGAGAGGCUUCGGGCAAUGGGGGAAACCCUGACCGAGCGACGCCGCGUGAGCGAUGAAGCCCUUCGGGGUGUAAAGCUCUUUUGUGAGGGAAGAACUGCAACGGCCUAAUACGCUGUUGUUUGACGGUACCUUACGAAUAAGCUCCGGCUAACUCCGUGCCAGCAG